This is a non-coding RNA of Peromyscus maniculatus bairdii (prairie deer mouse), 644 nucleotides long. NCBI's taxonomy places the organism in Eukaryota, Metazoa, Chordata, Mammalia, Rodentia, Cricetidae. The record is from RefSeq and is a predicted model, not a curated record.
UCUGACAUGGUGGGUGAAGCCUGGGAAGUUCUGCACACUCAUGGCAUCAUCUCCCGUGAGCAGCACCUGGAGAGGUCAUGCCUGGUCUCUGCUAUAAAGAUCCUGGAGAGAUUGGAAAGGAAGAGUAAGCUGUCCCAAGGAGGAGGGUCAAGGUUGAGUUCUAUUUUCAGGAUGAUCUAAGAAAUCCUGACCAUUCUUUCCAGAGAAGUCCUGUUUUGACUUUCCCCAGUUUCCACGGCUCUUACUUAAAGAGCGUCACUGAAACAGUGCUACGUUGAAGUCAUUGGGGGAAGGGGUACCCAUGCUGACAUGUAUGCCACAUUGUUCAACACCAUGACGGAUCAUCUGGUUUCCUUGGACUCCACUCAGACUGAAGAUACAACCAACUCUGGUGCGGCCCAUUGCACCUUGACCCCGGUCCCUAGCUGGGGGAAAAGUCCCCAACUGUGCGACUGUAAGGUUGAGCUUCAGGCUGAGCUGAUGGCAAGAUCACGUACCAGGCCACUCAGACAGGAUUCCGGAAGUCCAGUCAGUCUCCAAAUUCUGCCAGCAUAGGAGACAAGAGAGCUUCACAAGGCCUUUUCUGCUCAGAACAAACCGCCCUCUCUCCUGCAGACUAGGACCAUUGCUGCCUUCCCCCACAC